This 483-nucleotide ribosomal RNA is filed under the name Triticum aestivum (bread wheat). Its description in RNAcentral is "partial small subunit ribosomal RNA". Lineage: Eukaryota; Viridiplantae; Streptophyta; Magnoliopsida; Poales; Poaceae. The record is from RNAcentral.
AUGAACGCUUGGCAGCAGCGUGCUGAUGAUUACUCCCUCAUUCAGUGCAGCAUGCUUUACAGCUUAGAACCGGGUCUCCAAAAGCGUUUUGAGAAACAUGGAGCAUAUGAGAUGUUCGAGGAGCUGAAAUUGGUUUUCCAAGCCCAUGCCCGGGUCGAGAGAUAUGAUGUCUCCGACAAGUUCUUCAGCUGUAAAAUGGAGGAGAAUAGUUCUGUUAGUGAGCACAUACUCAGAAUGUCUGGGUUGCACAACCGCUUGACUCAGCUGGGAGUUAAUCUCCCGGAUGACGCGGUCAUUGACAGAAUCCUUCAGUCGCUUCCACCAAGCUUCAAGAGCUUUGUGAUGAACUACAAUAUGCAGGGGAUGGAAAAGACCAUUCUUGAGGUAUAUUCGAUGCUGAAAUCAGCGGAGGUGGAAAUCAGAAAAGAACAUCAAGUGUUGAUGGUGAAUAAAACCACUAAGUUCAAGAAGGGCAAGGGUAAG